GACUACUGGGGUAUCUAAUCCUGUUUGCUCCCCACGCUUUCGCACCUCAGCGUCAGUAAAGGCCCAGGGGGUCGCCUUCGCCUCUGGUGUUCCUCCCGAUAUCUACGAAUUUCACCUCUACACCGGGAAUUCCACCCCCCUCUACCUCACUCAAGACUGGCAGUAUCAAAUGCAGUUCCGGAGUUGAGCUCCGGGAUUUCACAUCUGACUUACCGAUCCGCCUACGUGCUCUUUACGCCCAGUGAUUCCGAAUAACACUCGCACCCUCCGUAUUACCGCGGCUGCUGGCACGGAGUUAGCCGGUGCUUCCUCAAAGGGUACCGUCAAUGGACAUGGGUAUUAACCAUAUCCCCUUUCUUCCCCUCUGACAGAGCUUUACGACCCGAAGGCCUUCAUCGCUCACACGGCGUCGCUGCGUCAGGGUUUCCCCCAUUGCGCAAUAUUCCUCACUGCAGCCACCCGUAGG
RNAcentral lists this ribosomal RNA (466 nucleotides) under uncultured delta proteobacterium. Its description in RNAcentral is "partial 16S ribosomal RNA". Lineage: Bacteria; Deltaproteobacteria. The record is from RNAcentral.